UACGGAGGGUGCAAGCGUUAUCCGGAUUCACUGGGUUUAAAGGGUGCGUAGGCGGAUAGGUAAGUCCGUGGUGAAAUCCUGCCGCUUAACUGCAGAACUGCCAUGGAUACUAUUUAUCUUGAAUGUCGUGGAGGUUAGCAGAAUAUGUCAUGUAGCGGUGAAAUGCUUAGAUAUGACAUAGAAUACCCAUUGCGAAGGCAGCUAACUACGCGGUAAUUGACGCUGAUGCACGAAAGCGUGGGGAUCAAACAGG
Molecule: ribosomal RNA, 253 nt
Filed under: uncultured bacterium
Lineage: Bacteria
Description: partial 16S ribosomal RNA
Rfam family: Bacterial small subunit ribosomal RNA
Source: RNAcentral